RNAcentral lists this ribosomal RNA (473 nucleotides) under uncultured bacterium. Its description in RNAcentral is "partial 16S ribosomal RNA". It matches the Rfam family "Bacterial small subunit ribosomal RNA", at positions 28 to 507 of the family's 1533-position model. The record is from RNAcentral.
GAUGAACGCUAGCGGCAGGCCUAAUACAUGCAAGUCGAACGGGUGGUCGCAAGACCACUAGUGGCGCACGGGUGCGUAACGCGUAACCAACCUGCCCCGAUCUGGGGGAUAGCCCGCCGAAAGGCGGAUUAAUACCGCAUAUACCCGCAGCCUGGCAUCAGGCAACGGGGAAAGAUUUAUUGGAUCGGGAUGGGGUUGCGUGACAUUAGCUAGUUGGCGGGGUAAGGGCCCACCAAGGCGACGAUGUCUAGGGGACCUGAGAGGGUGAUCCCCCACACUGGCACUGAGAGACGGGCCAGACUCCUACGGGAGGCAGCAGUAGGGAAUAUUGGGCAAUGGGCGAGAGCCUGACCCAGCCAGGCCGCGUGCCGGAUGAAGGCCUUCUGGGUUGUAAACGGCUUUUCUCAGGGAAGAAAAAGACCUUGCGAGGUACACUGACGGUACCUGAGGAAUAAGCACCGGCUAACUCCGUG